AUGAGGGCGCCGCCGAGCGCGCCGGGCCGAGCGGAGUGGGCUCCUGCGCUGGCCGCGAACUUUAAACCACUGGGAGGACCACCUGAAGCGCCGUGCCUGGCCCUGGUCACCUACCCGGGCGCACGCCUGGCGCGAGCGGGCCUCGAGUCUGGAAAUGGGGGAGAGGUCUCUGUCGGCUUCUGCCGCGACCCUGCCUUGCGCUCUGGCCUGUGGGUGGGGCGGCGGGACGGCCAACCUGCCUCCCAGGCGCGGUCCCGCUGGGGUCUCGGAACUGGGCUAGGGCCGGGAAGCUCGCGGGCGCCUGGACCCCACCACGAGGCGACCAUCUCCCGCCCUAACCCUGCGGCUCCUGGCGAAUCCAACCUCUUUCCCCGUCUCUCUCGAGCAUCUCACCCCCCAACACACACAAACUCCAACCCCAUCUCCUCAUACCCCCCAUCCCCAUCCACCACCCUCCCACCCCGGCUUGCCCUUGCCUCCCGACCCGGCUGCUGCCACUUUCUCUGCACUUACCCUCGCCCUCCUCGCCCUCCCUCUUGGCAUUCGCUAGUGGUCUCUCACCUUUUCGGGAUGGGGAUGGAUGACCUUGAGGAAGGGGCAGAGAGGAACUUGAGCCUUGGAACUGGGCUUCACCACCAGGGAGAAAGGGGGAGGCAGAUUAAAAGCAGCUUAGGAAGAGGCCACCAGGCCUGCCCCACAGCUAGAUUUCCAGCAGCCCAGAAGGGGGGUGAAAUAGCCAGAGAGAGGGUCCCCAUAGGGCUGUGGCUACUGCUGUUGGCCUUGACCUGGGAAGGUAGGGCUGCCUCUGGCCCUGUGGGCUUGGGGAAGGUGUGUGUGUGUGUGUGUGUGUGUGUGUGUGUAGGGGAGAGGGGCACCUCCUGUCUGCAUCUGUACAGCUGCCGCCACCUGGUCAGGAAGGAACGGCAGAUCUUCCAUCUCUUUUCUCUUUCCAGGAAGGCCGUGCCAGAGCCUUCCUCCUCUGGAGCUAACGACAGCCACCAUUAUCAUCACUGUGGGCAUCCAGCACUUCAUAGGCAGUGCCCCAUGUAG
RNAcentral lists this long non-coding RNA (1050 nucleotides) under Oryctolagus cuniculus (rabbit). Its description in RNAcentral is "lncRNA (ENSOCUG00000037639.1)". Lineage: Eukaryota; Metazoa; Chordata; Mammalia; Lagomorpha; Leporidae. The record is from RNAcentral.